GCGAUGAAUACGUGGCGUGCAUUGGAAACGCAGAGUUCAACCCCAGGUACACACGGCACACCUGCCUGUGAAAGAAGGGUGCUGUGUAUGGUAGGUUCUACGUCGUCGUUCACCCAACACUGAAAAUGAACAGCCCCAACAGGUCUAAUGUUCAAACGUAGUCACAUGCGGACAACUCUGCUCACGAGAACGAAAGCCCAGGAAUCUCAAAUAAAAGAAAAUGAGAACAUCAAAUAAAAGGAAACGAGAACAAAUAAUGUUUAAAACUGCACGGGACCUGAGAGCGGGGCACACGAUCUCUGCCAGGCGCCGGGCUCAAGAUGAAUGGCUAACUUGUUCAUGGCAGGUCGGUGAAGUUUCUCCACAUUUCCAAGCCAGUUUAGUCAGGUUGAACAGGAAAUCAGAUGACUCACUGUCCACAGAACGAGAAGAAACUGUGUAAAUCUUGUCCCUAGAGGAGAACCAUUAAAUCUGUCUUCCUAGCCUCA
This is a long non-coding RNA of Mastomys coucha (southern multimammate mouse), 488 nucleotides long. RefSeq lists it as uncharacterized. The transcript has 3 exons. NCBI's taxonomy places the organism in Eukaryota, Metazoa, Chordata, Mammalia, Rodentia, Muridae. The record is from RefSeq and is a predicted model, not a curated record.